This 1336-nucleotide long non-coding RNA is filed under the name Phascolarctos cinereus (koala). Its description in RNAcentral is "lncRNA (ENSPCIG00000034293.1)". Lineage: Eukaryota; Metazoa; Chordata; Mammalia; Diprotodontia; Phascolarctidae. The record is from RNAcentral.
AAUGUUCAUUGAGUUGAAACAGUUGUUUCUGUUUCAGGGCCAUGUUCCAUGGGCAUUUCUGGGAAGAGAGCCUGCAGUGUACAGCUUUUCACCUGGUUCUGUGUGGUGUCCCUUAGUGGAGGGGAAAGAGGAGCUCAGCAACCUGGAGCCUUGACCUGCCUCAAUAAUUACAUAACUACAAUCCAUUGUAGUUGGACUAUCACCCUGCCAAGACAAGACAGAGUCCAUCAGCUCCUCUUCACCAGCAACUUGGAACCACAUGAAAACUACAGCUGCAUCCUCCAGAUGGGUACCUGCACUAGAACUCCCACUAAACAGAAUACUGACAGUAUUUGAUGAGUUCACCAUCAGUUUCCAUGGCAGCAUAUCUGGAGUGGACCUGGUGUAUCUGUUGGACCCCAACUAUCUGCCCAGGCAGAACAGUGAGUGCUAUCUUACCCCAGGAUCAGAAGGAUAGGAGUAGGAGUACUGGGUAUUCCAGGCAAGGAAAUUUUCUAGCCUUCAGGAACAGUGAUGUGUUAGUUGCUGAGUGUGGUAGCACAUUACUGGGGGAGGCUGAGGCUGUAGAUAGCCCGAGUUUGGGAGUUCUGAGAGUAGGGCUAAAGUUGAUUGGAUGUUGACACUAAAUCCAGCUUUAAAAAGGUAAAUCCCAGGGGCAGCUAGGUGGCGCAAUGGGUAGAGCACCAACCCUGGAAUCAGGAGGUCCUAAGUUCAAAUCUGACCUCAGACACAUAACACUUAGUAUCUGUGUGGCUUUGGGCAAGUCACUUAAUCCCAUUGCCUAGCCAAAAAAAAAAAAAAAGGUAAAUCCCUAGAAGUGGAUGGCCAGAUUGUCUGAGGAAAUAUGAACCAGCCCAGAAUGGAAAAAUAGAGCAGGUUAAAGCUUCCAUAAUUAUCAGCUCUGGGAUCAGGCCAUAAGCAGCAACUGUGCUUGGCUGAGAUAAGAAGACCUGGUCUCAAACAAACAAAAAACCAAACCCAAUCCCAAAGAAACACAAAGCACUGAUAUGUCCAACAUGUCAGUGGGUGGCUAGAUCCAAGGAAGAUGGGCUUAUGCUCCUUGAAAGAGCCACAUUACAGCCUCUUAGCCUUGAUGCUUUAUGUUCACAUCCUUUGAGUUUAGGAAGAUGCCAGGGGGCUUUCUUAUCACCCAGUGUCUCUACCUGUCCUGCUUCAUUUUGCAAAGAAAGACUUAGAGUUAGGAGCAAGUCUAGGGUCUCUGUUCAGAAUCAGACAGGAGCUCAAGUUUUAGAGUCUAGAGCAGACACAGUUGUAUGUACCUUGGGAAUGGUGGGAAGUGAUUAACAACUUGUCAGCGGAAUGAGGGAGCAUGACC